AGCACCGGGCGCACAGAGGCAGCCAGGCAGGACGAUGUCACAGAAAAAAAUAUCCCAGUUCUUUACCCCAAAGGUUGCAAGCAGUCAAAGAGAUGAUGAUGAUCAAGAUGGCGCUGCUGCUGCUUCUUCUUCAAAUGCUGCUGCCAUCAUACAGAGAAGUGCAAGGGAUAUUGAAGCCCCAGAUGUGUCAAAAUCCUGG
Melanotaenia boesemani (Boeseman's rainbowfish) is the source of this 199-nucleotide long non-coding RNA. RefSeq lists it as uncharacterized. The transcript has 3 exons. The record is from RefSeq and is a predicted model, not a curated record. NCBI's taxonomy places the organism in Eukaryota, Metazoa, Chordata, Actinopteri, Atheriniformes, Melanotaeniidae.